AAACUAUAUAUUUUUCCUAAUAUCUACAUAGAAAAAUAAACCAUAUUACAAAAAGGCAUGAGGGUAUGUACAAUGGAUAUCAAUAUAGUGGGACAAGAGAAGGCAAGUUCACCCACAUGCAGAUAUGGCCCUUUGGUGCCUUUGAGAUGCAGAGUGGCUUAUAUACAGUUUUUCCCAUUCUGGAAAAUGUUCUGUAUAUUCGCCUGAUCCAAG
Non-coding RNA from Pelobates cultripes (western spadefoot toad), 213 nucleotides. The record is from the annotation of a GenBank genome assembly. Lineage: Eukaryota; Metazoa; Chordata; Amphibia; Anura; Pelobatidae.